GACGAACGCUGGCGGCGUGCCUAAUACAUGCAAGUUGAGCGAUGAAGAUUGGUGCUUGCGCCAAUUUGAAGAGCAGCGAACGGGUGAGUAACGCGUGGGGAAUCUGCCUUUGAGCGGGGGACAACAUGUGGAAACGAAUGCUAAUACCGCAUAACAACUUUAAACAUAAGUUUUAAGUUUGAAAGAUGCAAUUGCAUCACUCAAAGAUGAUCCCGCGUUGUAUUAGCUAGUUGGUGAGGUAAAGGCUCACCAAGGCGAUGAUACAUAGCCGAACUGAGAGGGUGGUCGGCCACAUUGGGACGGAGACACGGCCCAAAGUCCUACGGGAGGCAGCAGGAGGGAAUCUUCGGCAAUGGAUGAAAGUCUGAGCGAGCAACGCCGAGGGAGUGAAGAAGGUUUUCGGAUCGUAAAACUCUGUUGGCAGAGUAGAACGCUGGUGAGAGUGGAAAGCACAUCAAGUGACGGUAACUACCCAGAAAGGGACGGCUAACUACGUG
Molecule: ribosomal RNA, 497 nt
Filed under: uncultured bacterium
Lineage: Bacteria
Description: partial 16S ribosomal RNA
Rfam family: Bacterial small subunit ribosomal RNA
Source: RNAcentral